GCUACGGGAGGCAGCAGUGAGGAAUAUUGGUCAAUGGACGAGAGUCUGAACCAGCCAAGUAGCGUGAAGGAUGACUGCCCUAGGGGUUGUAAACUUCUUGUAUAAAGGAAUAAAACGAGGCACGUGUGCCUUUUUGCAUGUACUUUAUGAAUAAGGAUCGGCUAACUCCGUGCCAGCAGCCGCGGUAAUACGGAGGAUCCGAGCGUGAUCCGGAUUUAUUGGGUUUAAAGGGAGAGUAGAUGGGUUGUUAAGUCAGUUGUGAAAGUUUCCGGCUCAACCGUAAAAUUGCAAUUGAUACUGGCAGUCUUGAGUACAGUUGAGGUAGGCGGAAUUCGUGGUGUAGCGGUGAAAUGCUUAGAUAUCACGAAGAACCCCGAUUGCGAAGGCAGCUUACUAAACUGUGACUGACAUUGAUGCUCGAAAGUGUGGGUAUCAAACAGGAUUAGAUACCCGAGUAGUC
Molecule: ribosomal RNA, 460 nt
Filed under: uncultured bacterium
Lineage: Bacteria
Description: partial 16S ribosomal RNA
Rfam family: Bacterial small subunit ribosomal RNA
Source: RNAcentral